GCAGUUUCCCCUGCGCUUUUUCUCUCUCCUGUGCCUUGUGAAGAAAGUGCCUGCUUCGCCUUCACCUUCGGCCAUGAUUGUAAGUUUCCUGAGGCCUUCUCCGCCUGCAGAGCUCCUGACUCUUCAUUCCUGCCUUGUGUGACCCAGGGAUGGAGGACUGCCCUCCCAACUCAUUAUCCUCUUUGCCCAGGAGCUUGUCCUAGAAACAACCACAUGCUGGAGAAUGGAAUUCCAUAAGGUACUCUCUUAGAUAAAGGAAGUGCCAGCCAUCCUGUUGCCAUCUGCUAAAAUCCUCAGCCCACCUGCAUAGUGAACAGCAUUCAUUGUUUUCCAGAAAUGUGCAAGAACCACAGUCUCCCCCAAGACUGAAGAUCUGCUUCAUCGACAUGGCAGGGAACGUGGCUGAACACAGAGGACUCAUUUUUGCAGCUUCCCUACCAGAGAGAGAGAGACACCCUUUUUACCCGAGUUCUGAGUUGAAAUAUCCUAGAAGAGAACUCUGAUUGGCCUGGCUUGGGUCACAUGCCUGUCCUUGAGUUGAUCAACUGUGAUUAGUUAUAAGUGUACUCAUUAGUAACUUCCCCUGGAACCUUAGAUUUGAUGUGGGGUAACAUCAGGAAGCAUACUAUGUAAGACAGAUACAAAGGGGAGCUGCUGUAUGG
This 662-nucleotide long non-coding RNA is filed under the name Homo sapiens (human). Its description in RNAcentral is "HSALNT0059282". The record is from RNAcentral. Lineage: Eukaryota; Metazoa; Chordata; Mammalia; Primates; Hominidae.